UAGGGGAGAUCUGACGGUACAUAAGGAUAAGCACCGGCUAACUCCGUGCCAGCAGCCGGUUAAUACGGAGGGUGCAAGCGUUACUCGGAAUCACUGGGCGUAAAGGGCGUGUAGGGAACAUAUCAAGUCUCUUGUGAAAUCUAAUGGCUUAGCCAUUAAACUGCUUGGCAAACUGAUAGGCUAGAGUGAGGGAGAGGCAGGUGGAAUUGGUGGUGUAGGGGUAAAAUCCGUAGAUAUUACCAAGAAUACCCAUUGCGAAGCCAUCUGCUGGCACUCACCUGACGCUAAGGCGCGAAAGCGAUCUAGCAAACAGGAUCACAUGGCGUUGCACUCCCACGCCCUAGAGCAUGUACUCUAGUUGGUUGGGGGCCUAGCAACCUGUGUAAUCCGGCUAAGGCAUAAGGGUCCCCGCUGGGGAAGUCCGUUCGCUGGCUUAAA
RNAcentral lists this ribosomal RNA (438 nucleotides) under Campylobacter jejuni. Its description in RNAcentral is "bacterial SSU rRNA". It matches the Rfam family "Bacterial small subunit ribosomal RNA", at positions 459 to 898 of the family's 1533-position model. Lineage: Bacteria; Pseudomonadati; Campylobacterota; Epsilonproteobacteria; Campylobacterales; Campylobacteraceae. The record is from RNAcentral.